RNAcentral lists this ribosomal RNA (253 nucleotides) under uncultured bacterium. RNAcentral describes it as "partial 16S ribosomal RNA". It matches the Rfam family "Bacterial small subunit ribosomal RNA", at positions 524 to 776 of the family's 1533-position model. The record is from RNAcentral.
UACGGAGGGUGCAAGCGUUAUUCGGAUUUAUUGGGCGUAAAGCGCACGUAGGCGGUUUCGUAAGUCUGAUGUGGAAGCCCGUGACUCAAUCACGGAAGUGCAUUGGAUACUGCGAGACUAGAGUACUGGAGGGGAGAACGGAAUUCCUGGUGUAGAGGUGAAAUUCGUAGAUAUCAGGAGGAACAACGGUGGCGAAGGCGGUUCUCUGGACAGUAACUGACGCUCAGGUGCGAAAGCGUGGGGAGCAAACAGG